This 2939-nucleotide long non-coding RNA is filed under the name Lactuca sativa (garden lettuce). RNAcentral describes it as "long non-coding RNA (LSAT_LNC002908)". Lineage: Eukaryota; Viridiplantae; Streptophyta; Magnoliopsida; Asterales; Asteraceae. The record is from RNAcentral.
AAUGUCUCACAGAUAGCUAUGCAAGCAUCUCCUGCUCUCGCAUUAUUUCUCUAAAAUCUCGAAUGGCAAACAAUCCAAGAGGUACCCGAUCUAUCACUGAGUUUCUACAUGAUAUGAAGAAUAUUGAAGAUGACCUUGCUCUAGCUUAGAAUCCGGUUGAUGAGGAAGACUUAAUAGUUCACAUAUUAGGACAGCUAGGUGACGAUUACACACACAUAGCCUCAGCUUCAAAGAUUCGUGAAACUCCUAUCAAAUACCCAGAUCUCUUUGAAAAAUUGCUUGAUCACGAAAGGACUCUGAAAGACACACAUACGUCCUCUGUUAUCACAACAGUCAACAAUACCCAAAAAUCCAACAAUCGAUAUUCAUCAAAAUCCUUCUAUGACAACCGCAAUCAACCUAAAUUCAACAACAACAACUCAGGCAACAAUUUUCGAUCCAACUCAGGCCCCAAUCGUUCGUCUGGUCAGUACAACGGAGGUAACAACUUCAACAGAGGUAAUAGAAACAAUAGCUACUGCCAAUUUUGCAAUAUCCCUGGACAUGAUACUAAAGAAUGCAGGAAGCUUACUCGGUUUCUUAGAGAAAACAACAUCAGUAUUAACACCUCUACCAAUCCCACAGUCAACUCUAUAGCAACUUCCUCCCCAACCACAGCAGCUCCAUGGAUGUUUGAUAGCGGGGCAUCUCAUCAUGUGGCAUCCACUCUAGCCUCAUUCCACACCCUGUCAGAAUAUGGCGGACCAGACGAAAUCGUGUUAGGAAACGGUAAAGGAUUAUCCAUCUCUCAUAUUUGUCAUUCUUCCCUUCCUACUUCUUCCCGUCCGUUAAAUUUACAUAAUGUGCUAUUUGUUCCUUAGUUGCGUAAUAACCUUAUUUCAGUGGCUAAACUAUGCAAAACUAACAAAGUUUCUGUGGAUUUUUUUCCCUCUUUCUUUCUUGUUAAGGACCUACGCACGGGCACAAUUCUCAUGCGGGGCACAAACAUCAAUGAUGUCUACUCUGCAGCCAUUUGCUCCCUUCGUCAACUUCCAAGAGUUAACUCCACGGUCUCCUCAAGUAAGUCGGUCACCUCCUGGCACCAUAAGCUUGGUCACCCAUCGGUCAAGAUUUUCAAGUGUCUUCUAGCUCGUUUAGGACUCUCUUGUAAUAAACAUUCAGAUGUUUCUUUUCAUUGUGAUUCGUGCUCUAUAAAUAAAAGCCACAAAUUACCCUUUGGGCCAAAUUCUUUUACUGCCACCAAACCUUUGCAACUCGUAUAUUCUGAUGUUUGGGGACCGGUACAAACUUCCAACGAUGGUUUUUCCUAUUAUGUCACCUUUGUCGAUUUUUAUUCAAGAUACAUUUGGCUUUAUCCAAUGAAACAAAAAUCUGAAGUCUCCACCCUGUUUCCUCAAUUUCGCAGCCUAGUUGAAAAAUUCUACAAUACCCCUCUCAUCUCCCUCUUCACUGAUAAUGGAGGAGAGUUUCUCAAACUUGCCUCAUACCUCAAACAAAAUGGCAUUUCUCACUUCACUACACCACCUCAUACCCCUGAACAGAAUGGGAUUGCUAAGAGACGACACAGACAUAUAGUUGAAACCGGGCUUUCACUUCUUCAUCAUGCCAACUUGCCUCUCUCCUUUUGGACUCAUGCUUUUCAAACAGCAGUCCAUCUUAUAAACUGAAUGCCCACCCAAGUUCUUAAUUUCAAAUCUCCUUAUGACAAACUACACAAUACUCCACCCAUAUACAAGAAGCUAAAACCAUUCGGAUGUCUCUGUUAUCCGUGGUUGCGACCUUAAUCCCUAACCAAGCCUCAUCCCCGGUCUACAAAGUGUAUUUUCCUUGGCUACUCGAUCUCGAAAUCAGCCUACAAGUGUUAUGAACCCACUACUCACAAACUUUACCACUCCCUCCAUGUCGAAUUUAUUGAGCACAUUUUCCCAUACCAGAAUGAACCCGAAACUCCUCUGCCCAAACCGAAUGAGUUUUGCAUCUAUCUGAACCCAAAAAAUGAUAACACCACCAACUCAUCCAUCCCUCCCUGCUGCCCUACACCAUCUCCUACACAACAAAUACCCAUCCAAAUUCCAUCCAUACCCUCCACACCAGCUACACCAUCACCUAGUACACCAACAACCCAAAAACAACCAAUCUGAUCCAGCCUCACCUCAAACAACACCACAACAACCACCCUUAUCCUCACCUGCUCAGUCAUCCCCUUCCUCGGUUCAAUCCCCUAACCCUUCUCCUCCUCCAUCACCACCACCACCUCACCGACCUCGCAAACCUAACCCAAAGUAUUACAACAACAAUCUCGUAAACACUACUACCCUUCAUCCUAUACCACCUACCCUCGAACCUUCCACCCAAAAUCAAGCACUAAAAGAUCCCAAAUGGAGGAGUGCCAUGGAUUCUAAAUUCAAUGCACUUUUACAAAACCAAACUUGGGAGCUGGUUCCGUUAGCCUCUCACAAACCUAUUGGCUGCAAAUGGGUCUUCCGAAUAAAACGCAACCCAGAUGGCUCUAUAUCAAAAUACAAAGCCCGUCUCGUAGCAAAGGGAUUUCUUCAAAAAUAUGGGAAAGAUUAUUUUGACACGUUUAGCCCGGUCACCAAACCCGUCACUAUUUAAACAAUCCUCUCCAUAGCCUUAUCAAACAACUGGCCACUACGCCAACUAGAUGUCAACAAUGCCUUCCUACAUGGCGCAUUGCAUGAAGAAGUAUUUAUGUCUCAACCACCUGGAUACAUUCACCCUCAAUACCCGGAUCACAUCUGCAAAUUAAAAAAAAUCCAUUUACGGUCUCAAGAAAGCUCCACGAGCUUGGUAUAUUGAACUUGCCAACUUUCUCCUCACCUUUGGUUUUCGAAAAUCUCAAGCUGAUGCAUCUCUUUUCAUCUAUUCCCAUCAAACCAUCAUAUGCUACUUCAUGGUUUAUGUCGAUGAUAUUAUCU